GUCUCUAUAGUUCAGUGGAAGAACGUGUGCUUAACAUCUCGACUUCGGUCGGAUAUCACGCACAAGGUCGUGAGAUCGAAACUCACUAGGGAUA
This is a non-coding RNA of Naganishia cerealis, 94 nucleotides long. The record is from the annotation of a GenBank genome assembly. NCBI's taxonomy places the organism in Eukaryota, Fungi, Basidiomycota, Tremellomycetes, Filobasidiales, Filobasidiaceae.